AGGCCCCUCAGGAAAAGAACAGAUUUCCUUUCUACAGAUGCUUCCAAACUGUAAAUACGAGAAUGAAACAAGAACCCCGAAGGCCACGCUGGGGCCAGAUUUGCCCCAUACUGUGUAUGCAGCAUGGCUCCUGACUCCAGAAGAGAACACAGCUCGGUGGAAAAGUUUUGGAACAGGCACUGUGCUCACUGAACUGAGAUUUCUAAAACCUCUUCCAGAAGUACCCUCGAGAGCACCUGACACCUAUUCUGUUCAGCGAGCAGUCAGUGAGCAACAUAACUGAAUGUGAGCACUGUAAUACAGCUGGGAAACAAGGAAAAUAUGUAGUUCUGUGGCUUGAAAACACACAAAAGUAUGAGAGGUAUCAACAAAACAGAAAUUCGGUACAAGCGACAUCAUUUUUUGCCCUGUAUACCAUCAACAAAAUUGUAUCUAAGAUCCCAUUAGUAUACAUUUUUGAAAGACCCAAUAUAGCAUAUUAUUUUCUUAUUAGUAGCAUGAGACAAAAAUACCAGAGGAAAUUAAUAGUCUAGAACAUCAGGGUAAAUACUCUUAAAAAAACUUGCAAGAUUUAUACUUAUAGUUGAAAUAUAUAAUACAUAUGUGAGAGAACGUGUGUGUGUGAGAGAGAGAGAGAGAGAAAGAGAGAGAGAGAGAUGAUGACUAUAGAUGAAUAUAUAUAUUGGUACCUUACUUCACAAACUUGAUUCUUUCCAUGACUCUGGUCGCAAACCGAGAUACAGACAAGAACCAAAUCAAAUUCAACGAUUACAAUCAACAUUGACUUUAUGGGGGAAUUUGAUUCAGUUCUCAUCCAGUUCAGUUUGCAACCAGAAUCAUGGAGAGAAUUGAGUUUGUGAACCGAAAUACCACUAUAGAUGGUGUGUGCGUGCAUAUGUGUGUGUGUGUGUGUGUGUGUGUGUGUGUGUGUGUGUUUUACUGGGGUCUGAGCUCAGGAAGCCUUUACAUUGAGCUCUAUCUCAUCCUGUUUGUUUUUGGAGACAGGGUCUACAGUUCCCAGGCUGACUCAAACUUGUGAUCUUCCUGCCUCAGCUUCCUAGAGUGCUGGGAUUACAUCUGUGUGCCACUGCAUUUGGUAUGUUUUUGCAGUGAUAUCUUGCUCUGUUUCCAGGACUGGCCCUGCCACUCAGCUCAAGCAAUCUUCCUGCUUCAGGCUGAGAACGAGUCGGGUGACAUCAUACUGGGCUGUGUAAUUCAUUCUUUUAACUAAAUAUCAUUUUGUAUUUCCAAUCUGUACGACAUGAUUCCAGGAGAUGUUAUUCAUAGUUCUAAUACACAGUGAAGUUGAUUUUUAGGCCUGAAUGUUUAAGGAAAUAUAUAUAUGCAAAUCACUCUACCUACAAC
Molecule: long non-coding RNA, 1365 nt
Filed under: Fukomys damarensis (Damara mole-rat)
Lineage: Eukaryota; Metazoa; Chordata; Mammalia; Rodentia; Bathyergidae
Description: lncRNA (ENSFDAG00000021823.1)
Source: RNAcentral